ACGGUGAGUAACACGUAUCCAACCUGCCGUCUACUCUUGGCCAGCCUUCUGAAAGGAAGAUUAAUCCAGGAUGGCAUCAUGAGUCCACAUGUUCACAUGAUUAAAGGUAUUCCGGUAGACGAUGGGGAUGCGUUCCAUUAGAUAGUAGGCGGGGUAACGGCCCACCUAGUCUUCGAUGGAUAGGGGUUCUGAGAGGAAGGUCCCCCACAUUGGAACUGAGACACGGUCCAA
Molecule: ribosomal RNA, 231 nt
Filed under: uncultured bacterium
Lineage: Bacteria
Description: partial 16S ribosomal RNA
Rfam family: Bacterial small subunit ribosomal RNA
Source: RNAcentral